RNAcentral lists this ribosomal RNA (256 nucleotides) under uncultured bacterium. RNAcentral describes it as "partial 16S ribosomal RNA". It matches the Rfam family "Bacterial small subunit ribosomal RNA", at positions 57 to 305 of the family's 1533-position model. The record is from RNAcentral.
GCAAGUCGAACGAGAACGGACUCUUCGGAGUCUUAGUAAAGUGACGCACGGGUGAGUAACACGUGGGUAACCUGCCCUUCGAUUGGGGAUAACUAUUAGAAAGUGUAGCUCAUACCGAAUACGCCUGCUUGGUCAUAGGACCGGGCAGUGAAAGCGGCGCAAGUCGCGUCGGAGGAUGGGCCCGCGGUCCAUUAGCUAGUUGGUAGGGUAAAGGCCUACCAAGGCUUCGAUGUAUAGCUGAUUUGAGAGAAUGAUC